CCCUUAGAUGUUCUGGGCUGCACGCGUGCUACAAUGGCGCUUGCAACAAGUCUUGCCAACCCGAUAGGGUGAGCGGAUCUUUGAAGAGGCGUCGUGAUCGGGACAGUUGAUUGCAAUUAUUCGACUCGAACGAGGAAUUCCUUGUAAUCGCGAUUCAUCAUAUCGCGCUGAAUACGUCCCUGCCCUUUGUACACACCGCCCGUCGCUCCUACCGAUUGAGUGCUCCGGUGAACAAUUUGGACUGCUUUGAUUCGAUUAGAAUUUGAAGCGGAAAGUUUAGUGAACCUUAUCACUUAGAGGAAGGAGAAGUCGUAACA
This 317-nucleotide ribosomal RNA is filed under the name uncultured eukaryote. RNAcentral describes it as "partial 18S ribosomal RNA". It matches the Rfam family "Eukaryotic small subunit ribosomal RNA", at positions 1470 to 1796 of the family's 1831-position model. The record is from RNAcentral.